Molecule: ribosomal RNA, 253 nt
Filed under: uncultured fungus
Lineage: Eukaryota; Fungi
Description: partial small subunit ribosomal RNA
Rfam family: Eukaryotic small subunit ribosomal RNA (bases 126-253)
Source: RNAcentral
UGAGCCUUAGUCACCCGGCACUGAGUCCCUCGUGGCCAGUGUUUUUAUAUUUACGGGUGGCUGGUUCAUUAUCACUUGCUGGGCGCCCGUUUCUGCUUUUGUUUUCGAAAGCUGGGAACGUGUUUGUGCUCAGCACUUUUACUUUGAAAAAAUUAGAGUGUUCAAAGCAGGCUUUAUUUAAGCUUGAAUAUCUUAGCAUGGAAUAAUAGAAUAGGACUUUGGUUCUAUUUUGUUGGUUUCUUGGACUAGAGUA